GGAGAAAUGAGCUGCAGUAGUUGUAACGGAUCUCCUGUUUUUAUCAGUAUCGAAGGCAGCAGUCUUGGAAAACAUUGAUAUGAAGAACCUCUGAAAUUCUGAAAGAAUGUCUUAAUGGACCAGUCUCAUUUUCUGCGACCUUCUUCAAAUGUAAACAACUAAAAAGGUUGAGGGCAGCCAGCGCCAAGAACAAAACACUCCAUUUUGGGUUGCUGAUGUUAGCAUCAAGUGUUCGAUGCUUUCUCAAUCCUAUGAGGUCAAAGAAUAGCACAGUGUUGGAUGAAUUGAAAGUGAAUGGUAGCGUGCAAAGGAGGAGAAGAUCACUGAAUGAAUGGAAGUGGACCUUUGAAGGGAUUGGAAGCCAAGAUGAAAAUUAUGAAAUCAAAAUUUUGAAGAAAGAAAGGCAAGUCAAUAAAUACCACAUCCAACGAUACUUAAGCAAAGCACUACAAACCAGUCUGAACAUUUUUGUUUUCAACUUGUGUGAAUGAAUAGAGUAAAUCCCAGAAAUGGAAAUGCCUUGAAAGAAAAAUGGAAUUGGUUGAAGUAACUGUAAUGCCAAAGUGUCCAUACAGUCUCCACGUCCAUGUGGAGAUAGUAAGGAUUGUAAAUGCUGGAAGUCAGUCAGUAGAUGUGAA
Molecule: non-coding RNA, 638 nt
Organism: Chiloscyllium plagiosum (whitespotted bambooshark)
Lineage: Eukaryota; Metazoa; Chordata; Chondrichthyes; Orectolobiformes; Hemiscylliidae
Source: RefSeq, a predicted model, not a curated record